RNAcentral lists this small RNA (125 nucleotides) under Marmota monax (woodchuck). The record is from RNAcentral. Lineage: Eukaryota; Metazoa; Chordata; Mammalia; Rodentia; Sciuridae.
GCCGGGCAUGGUGGUGCAUGCCUGUAAUCCCAGCGGCUGGGGAGGCUGAGACGGGAGGAUCACGAGUUCGAAGCCAGCCUCAGCAAUGGCAAGGCACUAAGCAACCCAGCAAGACCCUGUCUCUA